AAGUCGUAACAAGGUAACCGUAGGUGAACCUGCGGUUGGAUCAUUACAAAAUGAUUGCUUGCAAGGUGGGUGCUAACACGCCUACUUUGCAGGUAAAAACCCUGUGCACCGUUAUGUCGAGUAGAGUGGUGCGGUUAACACUGCACUACCCUGCUUUGCAUGUAUAAACCCCUUAAAUUUGGCUGAGAUAAUCGUUUAAUUGUAAACAACUUUUGACAACGGAUCUCUUGGCUCUC
Molecule: unclassified non-coding RNA, 236 nt
Filed under: fungal sp.
Lineage: Eukaryota; Fungi
Description: partial internal transcribed spacer region
Rfam family: Eukaryotic small subunit ribosomal RNA (bases 1-46)
Source: RNAcentral